GGGGAAAAUGGACCAAUGGGCGAAAGCUUGAUCCAGCCAGGCGGCGGGUGUGAAGAGGGUCUCGGGAUGUUAAAGAACUUAAGGUGGGGGGGAAGGGAGGAAGGUAAAUCCCUGGUGGUUUGAAGGUAACCACCAGAAUAACAACGGCUUACCUCCGUGCCAGCAGCCGCGGUAAUACGAAGGGUGCAAGCGUUAAUCGGAAUUACUGGGCGUAAAGCGCGCGUAGGUGGUUCAGCAAGUUGGAUGUGAAAUCCCCGGGCUCAACCUGGGAACUGCAUCCAAAACUACUGAGCUAGAGUACGGUAGAGGGUGGUGGAAUUUCCUGUGUAGCGGUGAAAUGCGUAGAUAUAGGAAGGAACACCAGUGGCGAAGGCGACCACCUGGACUGAUACUGACACUGAGGUGCGAAAGCGUGGGGAGCAAACA
This 426-nucleotide ribosomal RNA is filed under the name uncultured Pseudomonadaceae bacterium. Its description in RNAcentral is "bacterial SSU rRNA". It matches the Rfam family "Bacterial small subunit ribosomal RNA", at positions 356 to 774 of the family's 1533-position model. Lineage: Bacteria; Pseudomonadati; Pseudomonadota; Gammaproteobacteria; Pseudomonadales; Pseudomonadaceae. The record is from RNAcentral.